This 2251-nucleotide long non-coding RNA is filed under the name Citrus x clementina. RNAcentral's name for it is "Citrus clementina (C. clementina) long non-coding RNA (CCLE_LNC003543)". Lineage: Eukaryota; Viridiplantae; Streptophyta; Magnoliopsida; Sapindales; Rutaceae. The record is from RNAcentral.
AUAUAUAGUAUUAAUUUUUAUUUCAUAAUUAUACUUUUCUUUCUCUAAAGCAAUUAUACCUUAAAAAAUAAAAUAUUUCAAUAUUAAAUUGAACCUAAAUAGAGUUUGGGUGUGUGAAGCAUUCUCUCUCUCUCUUUUUUUUUUAGGGAAAAGGUGUGAAGCAUUCGUAUAAAUAAGAGAAGAAGACAAAUCAAUUGUUCUUAAUAAUGUUUGUGAUAGUGAUGUAUACAAAAAAAAAUUAUUCUGCAACAAAUUACUGUUAAUCUAUUAUAUAUCUUAGUGUUAUGAAAAAUUAUUUUCUUUUAAAUCGCUUAAUUUUAUCCUUGGAAUAAAAUUAAUAUAUCAUAUAAGUAUAGAUUCCGAAAUGCUUGUCUACAUGCAAAUUUUCAUUUUUUGGUGUAACAAAUGACUUCUGUACAUAAAAGUAAAUGUUCUCUGUUUUAUAGUUUACGCUACCAAAACCCCAAAAAAAGGGCAUAUGUCUUAAUGGUUAAUAAUAAUGAUGUUUUUCUAUUCAUUUUCUACGACCUAAGCUAUAAUGUGACAGAAGCAAUCAAGAAGCAUCAACACAAUCCAUUUUGGGCUUAAUAGUAAUGAGAUUACUUAGUGUCAAUAAAAUUUAAAUUUACUGUUACAUUGAUUCCUAGGGAGCCUUAUUUGUUGUUGAUCAAAUUACCUUGCUAAGCCGUAGGCGUGUGGCGCCUCCAUUUAUCACAUAUAUAGCUCCAUCCACCUCUCUUCACGGCAACUUUCUUCAUUGCAGGAACUCUGGUUCCAUCCUGUUAAACACUGGUCUCACCCUGGCACCAUCGGGCCUCCCUCUGGCCAAAUCGGGCUUCAUUGGGUAAUAUUCAGACGUCGUUGGGUAAUUUUCGGGCAUCAAUUGGUGAUCGUCGACCCACAUCAUUUUGUGAAUCAAAUUCUUGCCGCCGUUAAUUAAGCCACCAACAGACAACUUGUUUUCAUUCUUGAUGUUGAUGUUGUUGUUGUUGUCAUCAGAUGGUGAAAUUGGUGGUUCAGAUUCUGAUGCUUCCGCGUGGUUUAAAACCAACAAAGAAAGGAUUGCCAAAAUCAUUAGCCAUGAUGAGUGGGACUUGGAGACGGCCAUGGUUCAAUUCCCUGUAAAUGUUCCUUAAAAUUCGGCAAUGAUUUUUUGAAAAAAAUUCUGAUUUAAGGGCUUUAUAGAUUUUCUUUUGGAUGUUAACGUAAUUAGCCAAUUUGGCUUUAAUUUCGGAAGUUUUGACUUUGAUCUUUUCCAACGGUGAUUAGUGGCCUUGCUCAUCGGUUUGCCUUUUCUUUUUCCCGUCUAUUAUUGGCUGUAUGUACCAUUUUUCUCUCAAAUUCUGAGUGUUUAAUUUCGGAACGCUGUCUAUUGAACUAUAAUUAGGAGAUCGAGUUUCUUACAAGUUACAAUAACAUUUUUUUGUUGGUAAAUUAUUUUACUGCUUUGAAAGAGAAGAGUAUUUUGGAAAUAUUUCAAUAUUUAUAAUCGCAGUAUUCUAGUUUUGAAUCUUUUGAUACGGGUAAUUUGCAAUGGAAAUUGCUGGCUAGCAAACUAAUAGAAAAUGAACAGAUAAAUUGAAGAAACUUUUACGCACGCCUCAAAGCCAUUAAUCUAUUAUGUUUUAUUCUUUAAUUUUAUCAACAAUAGGAAAAUUUGUCAUAUUCAAUGGCUAUUAAAAUUUUAAAAUUAUUAGUCCAGAUGCUGUGAAGUUAAAUAAUUUUUACAGAAUGAAUUUCGCUCGUUGGAAAGACAUGAUUAUAUUUUUUUGUUACCUGUUUGAAAAUAUGUUGGAUUUCUAAGUGAAGAAGACACAAGCCCACAUUACUAAAGAAAGAAAUAAGCACGAUCGAGGAAGAUGGAGUUAAGCGGCACAUAAUUAAGUCUCUUCUCCCUUUAAUGCUUACCUCUAAUCUAAACAUGUUAAGAAUGCGUUUGCGAUUGAAAUUUGGAUGCUGUUACUUUUAAGUUAUAGUAUUAAAGUGUUUGGUAAAUAUUAACGGCUGUACCUUAAAAGUUAUGUUGAUUUGAUUUUUUAUUUGUAUGGUAGAAAAUCUAUUAUAUCUUUAAUAAUUUUGUCAGUCUCUUCUCCCUUUAAUGCUUACCUCUAAUCUAAACAUGUUAAGAAUGCAUUUGCGAUUGAAAUUUGGAUUGAAAUUUGGAUGCUGUAACUUUGAAGUUAUAGUAUUAAAGUGUUUGGUAAAUACUAACAGCUAUACCUUAAAAGUUAUGUUGAUUUGAUUUUUUAUU